UCGCUAACCUGUGGAAUUCCAAAAGGACCGAGCGUUCUGGCUAUGCUAAUUGACGCGGAAGAAGUAGAAUCUCCUACAGUAGCAGAACACGAGUCAUGUAUCCAGUAGCCUAAUGUGAUGCCCGGCAGAACGUCGGUUCUGUUGUUGAUCUCAAGGAUGGUGAACGCAAAGGCGCGGGCGAAGCGCAGCUGCCUGAAGUCCAUGCUGUAUGGAUACAGUAAUUUUAAAAAGUUAAAACUCUUGCAACAUCAUUCUCAGUGAAGUAGUAAUUCCAGGUUAUCUUCACUGUUGCUUCCUGUUACACUACAGGAUUGGUUCUUAAGCACAUUAACCAAUACUUUCACGAUUCCCCCUUUAAAG
Long non-coding RNA from Electrophorus electricus (electric eel), 360 nucleotides. RefSeq lists it as uncharacterized. The record is from RefSeq and is a predicted model, not a curated record. NCBI's taxonomy places the organism in Eukaryota, Metazoa, Chordata, Actinopteri, Gymnotiformes, Gymnotidae.